Transfer RNA from Pyrenochaeta sp. DS3sAY3a, 84 nucleotides. It matches the Rfam family "tRNA". From Rfam's summary of the family: Transfer RNA (tRNA) molecules are approximately 80 nucleotides in length. The record is from Rfam. Lineage: Eukaryota; Fungi; Ascomycota; Dothideomycetes; Pleosporales; Cucurbitariaceae.
GCCCUCUUGGCUUAGUGGUAAAGCGUAUCACUAGUAUGAAUUAUCUAAAUGAUAAGAUCGUAAGUUCGAUUCUUACAGAGGGCA